AAACSGUUCGAGGGUAAACGGACAGAGCCCGUGAAUCCGGGCGACGGAAUUCAGAAUCGACGGCGUUCACGCGUCGUCGGUUCGAUAUUUCCGUCGCCGACAGUACACGGACGUCGCGACCCGUUCGGUGUCGGUCCGCAGGAGACGUGCGAAAGUUCGUGUGCGUCUGGCGGGGUUUCGGCCUCGUCGGGCGUUUCGCGAGUGCGCGUUUUUUUUUCUGGCCGACUCGCCGGACGGUAUGCGAAGCGGUGAUCGCGACGGCCUCUCGUCAGCGCCGUCGCGUUAUCCGGUCUGCGACGAAUCUUCGGGCCUCUUUCCCA
Molecule: ribosomal RNA, 320 nt
Filed under: Dysmicoccus sp. PJG-2003
Lineage: Eukaryota; Metazoa; Arthropoda; Insecta; Hemiptera; Pseudococcidae
Description: partial 28S large subunit ribosomal RNA
Source: RNAcentral